UCCGUAGGGUGAACCUGCGGAUGGAUCAUUA
This 31-nucleotide ribosomal RNA is filed under the name Neocamarosporium betae. Its description in RNAcentral is "partial 18S ribosomal RNA". Lineage: Eukaryota; Fungi; Ascomycota; Dothideomycetes; Neocamarosporiaceae. The record is from RNAcentral.